UGACAGUACUCCUACGGGGAGGCAGCAGUGGGGGAAUAUUGCACAAUGGGCGCAAGCCUGAUGCAGCCAUGCCGCGUGUGUGAAGAAGGCCUUCGGGUUGUAAAGCACUUUCAGUCGUGAGGAAGGUAGUGUAGUUAAUAGCUGCAUUAUUUGACGUUAGCGACAGAAGAAGCACCGGCUAACUCCGUGCCAGCAGCCGCGGUAAUACGGAGGGUGCGAGCGUUAAUCGGAAUUACUGGGCGUAAAGCGCAUGCAGGUGGUUUGUUAAGUCAGAUGUGAAAGCCCGGGGCUCAACCUCGGAAUAGCAUUUGAAACUAGGCAGACUAGAGUACUGUAGAGGGGGGUAGGAAUUUCAGGUGUAGCGGUGAAAUGCGUAGAGAUCUGAAGGAAUACCGGUGGCGAAGGCGGCCCCCUCGGACAGAUACUGACACUCAGAUGCGAAAGCGUGGGGAGCAAACAGGAUUAGAUACCCUGGUAG
RNAcentral lists this ribosomal RNA (478 nucleotides) under uncultured bacterium. RNAcentral's name for it is "bacterial SSU rRNA". It matches the Rfam family "Bacterial small subunit ribosomal RNA", at positions 328 to 793 of the family's 1533-position model. The record is from RNAcentral.